Molecule: non-coding RNA, 150 nt
Filed under: Devosia sp.
Lineage: Bacteria; Pseudomonadati; Pseudomonadota; Alphaproteobacteria; Hyphomicrobiales; Devosiaceae
Also listed under: 1 other name
Description: FMN sequence
Rfam family: FMN riboswitch aptamer (RFN element)
About the family: The RFN element is a highly conserved domain that is found frequently in the 5'-untranslated regions of prokaryotic mRNAs that encode for flavin mononucleotide (FMN) biosynthesis and transport proteins. This element is a metabolite-dependent riboswitch that directly binds FMN in the absence of proteins.
Source: RNAcentral
GAGAGUUCUCAGGGCGGGGUGAAAUUCCCCACCGGCGGUAAUUGUGUCUUUGUGCACAUCAGCCCGCGAGCGCCCAUCCUUCGGGAUGGGGUCAGCAGACCCGGUGUAAUUCCGGGGCCGACGGUAUAGUCCGGAUGGAAGAGAACCAAU